Molecule: non-coding RNA, 195 nt
Organism: Yersinia ruckeri
Lineage: Bacteria; Pseudomonadati; Pseudomonadota; Gammaproteobacteria; Enterobacterales; Yersiniaceae
Source: Rfam
CACCGACAUCAGGGAUUCGUUUUUCGAACCUUGUCCCACUGCCAGAUAGGAAUGCAUACCCAGCUCUUUCAUCUGCUGUUCACCGAUCACGCGGGUGAUGAUGUUUUUGCUGAAUGCAUCGGCCAAUUGGCGAGCCUGAGAGGCCAGAUAAGCGGCAUUACAGAUAUUAGGCGGCAUAUUGCCCAGAUCUUUGGC